GUGUAAUUUGUAGAGGAUGUUUCGGGUGCGGUAUCGGUCUAAGUCCUUUGGAACAGGGCGUCAUAGAGGGUGAGAAUCCCGUAUGUGACCGACGACCAACCCCAUGUGAAACCCCUUCGACGAGUCGAGUUGUUUGGGAAUGCAGCUCAAAAUGGGUGGUAAAUUUCAUCUAAAGCUAAAUACCGGCCAGAGACCGAUAGCGCACAAGUAGAGUGAUCGAAAGAUGAAAAGCACUUUGGAAAGAGAGUCAAAAAGUACGUGAAAUUGUUGAAAGGGAAGCGCUUGCAACCAGACCUGCCCGUACGCGAUCAACCACUGUUCUCAGCGGUGUACUCGCGUGCGAUCAGGCCAGCAUCGGUUUAGGCGGUUGGAUAAAGGCCUCGAGAAUGUAGCUCCCUCGGGAGUGUUAUAGCUCUUGGUGCAAUGCGACCAGCCUGGACCGAGGACCGCGCUUCGGCUAGGAUGCUGGCGUAAUGGUUGCAAGCGACCCGUCUGAAACACGGA
This 504-nucleotide ribosomal RNA is filed under the name Pyrrhospora petraeoides. Its description in RNAcentral is "eukaryotic LSU rRNA". It matches the Rfam family "Eukaryotic large subunit ribosomal RNA", at positions 143 to 665 of the family's 3401-position model. Lineage: Eukaryota; Fungi; Ascomycota; Lecanoromycetes; Lecanorales; Lecanoraceae. The record is from RNAcentral.